UGGGGAAUAUUGGACAAUGGGCGCAAGCCUGAUCCAGCAAUGCCCGCGUGAGUGAUGAAGGCCUUCGGGUCGUAAAGCUCUUUUACCAGGGAUGAUAAUGACAGUACCUGGAGAAUAAGCUCCGGCUAACUAAGUG
RNAcentral lists this ribosomal RNA (136 nucleotides) under bacterium 070408. Its description in RNAcentral is "partial 16S rRNA". It matches the Rfam family "Bacterial small subunit ribosomal RNA", at positions 355 to 507 of the family's 1533-position model. The record is from RNAcentral.